RNAcentral lists this ribosomal RNA (1529 nucleotides) under uncultured bacterium. RNAcentral's name for it is "bacterial SSU rRNA". It matches the Rfam family "Bacterial small subunit ribosomal RNA". The record is from RNAcentral.
GGCUCAGAUUGAACGCUGGCGGCAGGCCUAACACAUGCAAGUCGAACGGUAACAGGAAGAAGCUUGCUUCUUUGCUGACGAGUGGCGGACGGGUGAGUAAUGUCUGGGAAACUGCCUGAUGGAGGGGGAUAACUACUGGAAACGGUAGCUAAUACCGCAUAACGUCGCAAGACCAAAGAGGGGGACCUUCGGGCCUCUUGCCAUCGGAUGUGCCCAGAUGGGAUUAGCUAGUAGGUGGGGUAACGGCUCACCUAGGCGACGAUCCCUAGCUGGUCUGAGAGGAUGACCAGCCACACUGGAACUGAGACACGGUCCAGACUCCUACGGGAGACAGCAGUGGGGAAUAUUGCACAAUGGGCGCAAGCCUGAUGCAGCCAUGCCGCGUGUAUGAAGAAGGCCUUCGGGUUGUAAAGUACUUUCAGCGGGGAGGAAGGGAGUAAAGUUAAUACCUUUGCUCAUUGACGUUACCCGCAGAAGAAGCACCGGCUAACUCCGUGCCAGCAGCCGCGGUAAUACGGAGGGUGCAAGCGUUAAUCGGAAUUACUGGGCGUAAAGCGCACGCAGGCGGUUUGUUAAGUCAGAUGUGAAAUCCCCGGGCUCAACCUGGGAACUGCAUCUGAUACUGGCAAGCUUGAGUCUCGUAGAGGGGGGUAGAAUUCCAGGUGUAGCGGUGAAAUGCGUAGAGAUCUGGAGGAAUACCGGUGGCGAAGGCGGCCCCCUGGACGAAGACUGACGCUCAGGUGCGAAAGCGUGGGGAGCAAACAGGAUUAGAUUCCCUGGUAGUCCACGCCGUAAACGAUGUCGACUUGGAGGUUGUGCCCUUGAGGCGUGGCUUCCGGAGCUAACGCGUUAAGUCGACCGCCUGGGGAGUACGGCCGCAAGGUUAAAACUCAAAUGAAUUGACGGGGGCCCGCACAAGCGGUGGAGCAUGUGGUUUAAUUCGAUGCAACGCGAAGAACCUUACCUGGUCUUGACAUCCACGGAAGUUUUCAGAGAUGAGAAUGUGCCUUCGGGAACCGUGAGACAGGUGCUGCAUGGCUGUCGUCAGCUCGUGUUGUGAAAUGUUGGGUUAAGUCCCGCAACGAGCGCAACCCUUAUCCUUUGUUGCCAGCGGUCCGGCCGGGAACUCAAAGGAGACUGUUAGUGAUAAACUGGAGGAAGGUGGGGAUGACGUCAAGUCAUCAUGGCCCUUACGACCAGGGCUACACACGUGCUACAAUGGCGCAUACAAAGAGAAGCGACCUCGCGAGAGCAAGCGGACCUCAUAAAGUGCGUCGUAGUCCGGAUUGGAGUCUGCAACUCGACUCCAUGAAGUCGGAAUCGCUAGUAAUCGUGGAUCAGAAUGCCACGGUGAAUACGUCCCCGGGCCUUGUACACACCGCCCGUCACACCAUGGGAGUGGGUUGCAAAAGAAGUAGGUAGCUUAACCUUCGGGAGGGCGCUUACCACUUUGUGAUUCAUGACUGGGGUGAAGUCGUAACAAGGUAGCCGUAGAGUUUGAUCCUGGCUCAGUCGUAACAAGGUAGCCG